This 305-nucleotide ribosomal RNA is filed under the name uncultured bacterium. Its description in RNAcentral is "bacterial SSU rRNA". It matches the Rfam family "Bacterial small subunit ribosomal RNA", at positions 334 to 636 of the family's 1533-position model. The record is from RNAcentral.
GUCUCCUACGGGGGGCAGCAGUGAGGAAUAUUGGUCAAUGGACGCAAGUCUGAACCAGCCAUGCCGCGUGCAGGAAGACGGCUCUAUGAGUUGUAAACUGCUUUUGUACGAGGGUAAAUGCAGGUACGUGUAUCUGUUUGAAAGUAUCGUACGAAUAAGGAUCGGCUAACUCCGUGCCAGCAGCCGCGGUAAUACGGAGGAUCCAAGCGUUAUCCGGAUUUAUUGGGUUUAAAGGGUGCGUAGGCGGUCGGAUAAGUUAGAGGUGAAAUCCCGAGGCUCAACUUCGGAAUUGCCUCUGAUACUGU